UUUAUUUUGAUGACAUUGUCAUAAAAGGUGAUAAUCUUGACGGUAUUUCUCAACUCAAGCAACAUCUCACCAAUCAUUUCCAGACCAAGGACUUGGAAAAAAUGAAAUAUUUUUUGGGCAUUGUGGUAGCACAAUCUAGUACUAGUUUUGCCAUUUCACAGAUUGGGUUGAGGGGGAGUUACUAAAGACCCUGGUCAGUAUCGAAGACUUGUUGGCAAGCUCAACUACCUCACAAUCACAUGUCCAGACAUCUCAUUUGCUGUAAAUGGGGUUAGUCAAUUUCUUCAAGCUUUUUGCGAUAGUCAUUGAAAUGCAGUAAUCCAUGUUCUUAGGUAUAUUGAAGGGGCUCUGGGAUAAGGUCUGUUGUAUAAAGACAUAGGGCAUACAAAGAUUGUUGGAUACUUCAAUGCAUAUUGGGCAAUAUCUGUCUCAGACAAAUUAUCUACUUCAGGGUAUUGUAUCCUUAUUUGGGAAAGUCUAAUAUCCUAGAAAAGUAAAAAGAAAGAUGUAGUAGUUAGAUCAAGUGUAGAAGCAGAGUAUCGA
Molecule: unclassified non-coding RNA, 543 nt
Filed under: Hevea brasiliensis (rubber tree)
Lineage: Eukaryota; Viridiplantae; Streptophyta; Magnoliopsida; Malpighiales; Euphorbiaceae
Source: RNAcentral